GAAGGAGUAGUCUAAAAAAGACAGCUGAUUUCGACUCAGCAAAUUGUGGUUCAACCCCACACCCCCUCU
RNAcentral lists this transfer RNA (69 nucleotides) under Hyla sanchiangensis (San Chiang treefrog). RNAcentral describes it as "tRNA-Arg". It matches the Rfam family "tRNA". From Rfam's summary of the family: Transfer RNA (tRNA) molecules are approximately 80 nucleotides in length. Their secondary structure includes four short double-helical elements and three loops (D, anti-codon, and T loops). Further hydrogen bonds mediate the characteristic L-shaped molecular structure. tRNAs have two regions of fundamental functional importance: the anti-codon, which is responsible for specific mRNA codon recognition, and the 3' end, to which the tRNAs corresponding amino acid is attached (by aminoacyl-tRNA synthetases). tRNAs cope with the degeneracy of the genetic code in two manners: having more than one tRNA (with a specific anti-codon) for a particular amino acid; and 'wobble' base-pairing, i.e. permitting non-standard base-pairing at the 3rd anti-codon position. The record is from RNAcentral. Lineage: Eukaryota; Metazoa; Chordata; Amphibia; Anura; Hylidae.